Molecule: ribosomal RNA, 253 nt
Filed under: uncultured bacterium
Lineage: Bacteria
Description: partial 16S ribosomal RNA
Rfam family: Bacterial small subunit ribosomal RNA
Source: RNAcentral
GACGAACUGUCCUACCGUUGUUCGGAAUCACUGGGCUUAAAGGGCGCGUAGGCGGUCCGCCAAGUCAGGGGUGAAAUCCUGCAGCUUAACUGUAGAAGUGCCUCUGAUACUGGCGGUCUUGAGGGAAAUAGGGGUGUGCGGAACUUCCAGUGGAGCGGUGAAAUGCGUUGAUAUUGGAAGGAACGCCGGAGGCGAAAGCGGCGCACUGGAUUUCUUCUGACGCUGGGGCGCGAAAGCUAGGGGAGCAAACGGG